RNAcentral lists this ribosomal RNA (468 nucleotides) under uncultured bacterium. RNAcentral's name for it is "partial 16S ribosomal RNA". It matches the Rfam family "Bacterial small subunit ribosomal RNA", at positions 28 to 507 of the family's 1533-position model. The record is from RNAcentral.
GACGAACGCUGGCGGCGUGCUUAACACAUGCCAGUCGAACGGAAAGGCCCUGCUUUUGUGGGGUGCUCGAGUGGCGAACGGGUGGGUAACACGUGAGCAACCUGCCCUUGACUUUGGGAUAACUUCAGGAAACUGGGGCUAAUACCGGAUAGGAGCUCCUGCUGCAUGGUGGGGGUUGGAAAGUUUCGGCGGUUGGGGAUGGACUCGCGGCUUAUCAGCUUGUUGGUGGGGUAGUGGCUUACCAAGGCUUUGACGGGUAGCCGGCCUGAGAGGGUGACCGGCCACAUUGGGACUGAGAUACAGCCCAGACUCCUACGGGAGGCAGCAGUGGGGAAUAUUGCACAAUGGGCGGAAGCCUGAUGCAGCAACGCCGCGUGCGGGAUGACGGCCUUCGGGUUGUAAACCGCUUUCGCCUGUGACGAAGCGUGAGUGACGGUAAUGGGUAAAGAAGCACCGGCUAACUACGUG